RNAcentral lists this ribosomal RNA (228 nucleotides) under uncultured bacterium. RNAcentral describes it as "partial 16S ribosomal RNA". It matches the Rfam family "Bacterial small subunit ribosomal RNA", at positions 568 to 795 of the family's 1533-position model. The record is from RNAcentral.
UCCGUAGGUGGAUAAUUAAGUCAGAGGUGAAAGUUUGCAGCUCAACUGUAAAAUUGCCUUUGAUACUGGUUAUCUUGAGUUAUUAUGAAGUAGUUAGAAUAUGUAGUGUAGCGGUGAAAUGCAUAGAUAUUACAUAGAAUACCAAUUGCGAAGGCAGAUUACUAAUAAUAUACUGACACUGAUGGACGAAGGCGUGGGUAGCGAACAGGAUUAGAUACCCUGGUAGUC